Molecule: ribosomal RNA, 391 nt
Filed under: uncultured bacterium
Lineage: Bacteria
Description: partial 16S ribosomal RNA
Rfam family: Bacterial small subunit ribosomal RNA
Source: RNAcentral
UACGUAUGUCGCAAGCGUUAUCCGGAUUUAUUGGGCGUAAAGCGCGUCUAGGCGGCUUAGUAAGUCUGAUGUGAAAAUGCGGGGCUCAACCCCGUAUUGCGUUGGAAACUGUUAAACUAGAGUACUGGAGAGGUAGGCGGAACUACAAGUGUAGAGGUGAAAUUCGUAGAUAUUUGUAGGAAUGCCGAUGGGGAAGCCAGCCUACUGGACAGAUACUGACGCUAAAGCGCGAAAGCGUGGGUAGCAAACAGGAUUGGAUACCCUGGUAGUCCACGCCGUAAACGAUGAUUACUAGGUGUUGGGGGUCGAACCUCAGCGCCCAAGCUAACGCGAUAAGUAAUCCGCCUGGGGAGUACGUACGCAAGUAUGAAACUUAAAGGAAUUGACGGGG